GACGAACGCUGGCGGCGUGCCUAAUACAUGCAAGUGGGACGCAAGGACACACACUGUGCUUGCACACCGUGUUUUCUUGAGUCGCGAACGGGUGAGUAACGCGUAGGUAACCUGCCUAUUAGCGGGGGAUAACUAUUGGAAACGAUAGCUAAUACCGCAUAAUAUUAAUUAUUGCAUGAUAAUUGAUUGACAGAUGCAAGCGCAUCACUAGUAGAUGGACCUGCGUUGUAUUAGCUAGUUGGUAAGGUAAGAGCUUACCAAGGCGACGAUACAUAGCCGACCUGAGAGGGUGAUCGGCCACACUGGGACUGAGACACGGCCCAGACUCCUACGGGAGGCAGCAGUAGGGAAGCUUCGGCAAUGGACGAAAGUCUGACCGAGCAACGCCGCGUGAGUGAAGAAGGUUUUCGGAUCGUAAAGCUCUGUUGUAAGUCAAGAACGUGUGUGAGAGUGGAAAGUUCACACAGUGACGGUAGCUUACCAGAAAGGGACGGCUAACUACGUG
This 505-nucleotide ribosomal RNA is filed under the name uncultured bacterium. RNAcentral describes it as "partial 16S ribosomal RNA". It matches the Rfam family "Bacterial small subunit ribosomal RNA", at positions 28 to 507 of the family's 1533-position model. The record is from RNAcentral.